UUCCGGUUGAUCCCGCCGGACCUGACUGCUAUCGGAUUGAUACUAAGCCAUGCGAGUCAUUGUAGCAAUACAAGGCAGACGGCUCAGUAACGCGUAGUCAACCUACCCUAUGGACGGGAAUAACCUCGGGAAACUGAGAAUAAUGCCCGAUAGAACAUUAUGCCUGGAAGGGUUUAUGUUCCAAAUGAUUUAUCGCCGUAGGAUGGGACUGCGGCCUAUCAGUUUGUUGGUGAGGUAAUGGCCCACCAAGACUAUUACAGGUACGGGCUCUGAGAGGAGUGGCCCGGAGAUGGGUACUGAGACACGGACCCAGGCCCUAUGGGGCGCAGCAGGCGAGAAAACUUUGCAAUGUGCGAAAGCACGACAAGGUUAAUCCGAGUGGUUUCUGCUAAAGGAACCUUUUGUUAGUCCUAGAAACACUAACGAAUAAGGGGUGGGCAAGUUCUGGUGUCAGCCGCCGCGGUAAAACCAGCACCUC
Molecule: ribosomal RNA, 478 nt
Filed under: uncultured archaeon
Lineage: Archaea
Description: bacterial SSU rRNA
Rfam family: Archaeal small subunit ribosomal RNA
Source: RNAcentral